This 274-nucleotide ribosomal RNA is filed under the name uncultured bacterium. RNAcentral describes it as "partial 16S ribosomal RNA". It matches the Rfam family "Bacterial small subunit ribosomal RNA", at positions 523 to 796 of the family's 1533-position model. The record is from RNAcentral.
AUACGGAGGAUGCAAGCGUUAUCCGGAUUUAUUGGGUUUAAAGGGUUCGUAGGCGGAAAAUUAAGUCAGUGGUGAAAGCCUGCAGCUCAACUGCAGAACUGCCAUUGAUACUGAUUUUCUUGAAUUUAUAUGAAGUGGGCGGAAUGCGUCAUGUAGCGGUGAAAUGCGCAGAUAUGACGCAGAACACCAAUUGCGAAGGCAGCUCACUAAUGUAAUAGUGACGCUGAGGAACGAAAGCAUGGGGAGCGAACAGGAUUAGAAACCCUAGUAGUCC